This is a non-coding RNA of Anas platyrhynchos (mallard), 5933 nucleotides long. The record is from RefSeq and is a predicted model, not a curated record. Lineage: Eukaryota; Metazoa; Chordata; Aves; Anseriformes; Anatidae.
UGAAGGGGCCCUAGAAGGAGUUGGGGAGGUCCUGGGGGUGUUUAGGGGCGCACUGGAAGUGUUUGGAUGGGUGUCCAGGGGGUGUUUGGGGGGAGCCCUGAGGCGUUUUGGGGGGGGGCCCCUGGGGGUGUUUGGGGGGUACCUUUUUGGGGUCCCCAGGCUCCGGAGGCGCCUCAGGCUUCCCGCCCUCGCUGAGGCGGCAGCUCUCAGCCAAUCAAGGUGCGGCUGCUGCCCGCCCCGCUUCCUGAGUGGCUGCCACUGCCCGCCUCCAGCCAUCACCAGCCAAUCAGGGGCGAGGGUUUUCCCGCCCACUGCCCCCUCCGCCGCUUUCCCUCCUCUCCCCAAUGGCGGCGCUCACGGGCCGCGGCUGAGGCGUUGGAGACCCGCCGCCGCCUCGGGCACGCGUCGCAGCCCUGCUGCAGCCUCCCCGUCCCGCCCACUACCCCGUUUUCACCGCUUUUUCGCGUUUUUCUCUCGGUUUUCUUCUUCUCUUCGGUUGUGGGGCCCGGGGGGCAGCGCUGUGAGCAGAGGCGUCCCCUCACGGGGGCUUUCCCCACACGCGCGGCCGCCAUGUUGAGGCCAGAGAGGUGCCGCUGGUUUGCAUUUGUAUUCUCCUUUACAGUUACCCUCCCCCAGAAAUAACCGCGGGGGUGGUCUCUGGCUGAGGGGGGGGGGGCUAGAAGGCGUGCAGAAGCCACCGUUUGGGGAAUUGCAAACCUCUGAAAACCCGAAUCUGCUGGGUUUGGUCCUGAGCCGCAGGCUGUGGUGCCUGGCUAAGCCGCAUUUGUCGUUUUGGGGAGUGAAAAGCUGAGAAAGGCAGAGAGGGAGCGGGUGAGAAAGGAGGUCACCUUGUGCUUAGGGUGGUUUUCUUCGCUUUUGCUUGUCCUGGGUUAUUUGUGGCUGCGUUUGCCGGCUGCCACAGCUGCUCGUCCGUGUGCUCCUGCAGGGCAGCCCCAGCCUUGGGGAGCCAAAAGUUGUGAUUCUGGGGGCGGAAAACAGAAAGCAAAAGCUGGCUGUGCCAUUUCCAGCCCUCCGUGUCCAUACCCAGCACCAGCUCUUCUGUAGCUUUUCCCAGUCAGCAAUGAGUGGAGAAGCCCUUUCUUGACCCGUUUUGCCUCCACUGAACAGGGCUUUGCUUGGCGGUAGGAAUACGUAGAGAAAUGUUCAGGAUGUGCAACCAUUUUCCCUAGAAGGGAUAGGGGGGUGGGGGAGAUUUCCACGUGCUGCUGGUGGCGUCGGUGUCUUUGCGCCUGGGUUGGCAGUGACGCUGGGGUUAAAAAGCGAUGUUGAAGAAGUGCAGCAGGUGAGAGGCGUGUGCUGUGUUGUGUGAUUUUGAGGGAAAAACUUCCCGAAAGCCCAUCACGUGGCUGGGUCUGCCCUCAGUGCUGCUGAUGGGCUCCCUGGGGGCAGUGGGGACCUUCUCUGGGUCCUGGGGGUCCCUGGGGACAGCAGGACCCCUGGGUGGUGGUGGCAGGACGUGGUGUCUGCCCCCAGUGCUGGGCCCGUUCCUGCCCCAGACCAUCGGUGAGUGUCCUGAGGUCCCUGUCCCCGGUGUCCCAGGCCACCUGGGUCCCUGGAGGGCUGCACUGCCCUCGUGUGUCAGCAGUUUGGGGUCCCCCAACUGGGAGGUGCUGGGGGAAGCUGUGGUCGAUGGAGCCGUUGGGGUGGGUGACACAGCUCUGCUGUGGCCAGGCAGGGUGACGGUGUCGCCAGCGUCACCAGGCGCUGGUCCCCCCUCAGCUGUGCUCCCAGACACCUCCCAGCCCGGAGGUCCCUGCGUUCGGGUUCUGGUUUAGGGUUAGGGCAGAGGUUAGUGCUAGGGGUAGUGGUUUGGGAAAGGGGUUGAGGGGCAAAGUUCUGGGUUGGGGAUUAUGGUUUGUGACUAUUUCUUCAGGAUUUCGAGUUGGAGUGCAAGAAUACGGGUUAAGUUUGGGGUUUAUGCAUGGGGUUAAGGGUUCGGGUGAAAGGCUCGAGUUCUGUUUUGGCAUUGAGGGAUGGCAGGUAUCCUGAGGGGAGGGGUUAGAAGGUGUAGGACUGGGUUUUGGGUUGAGAUUCUGGAUAGGGCUUCCUGUUGGUGGUUAAGGUUUCUGGUUUGGGUUUAGGCAUGUGGUUUGGAUUUGGGGUUGUUAUUUUGAGUUUGGGUUAGCAGUUAGGGUUGAGGAAAGGUAGGGCCUGGGACAGUUAAGAACGAAAGGUGACGGGUGAGCUCAUAGAAGGAAGCAUUCUGGCACUGGAGCCACGGCCCCAGCGCUGGCGAACUUGAUACGGAGCCAUUUUGCGCCCUCUGCCCCCCAGGGGAAAUCUUAGGUUGACUUUUUAAAUGUUUUGCAGCCUGGAAGUUGUCCCCAGAAGGUAGACACGCGCACACCCCCCCAAAAGGAGAUGCCCAUCUCCUCCGUGGUGCUGAGGCAGCAGCACGUGGAAAGCAAGGGACUGGGCUCCGGUCCUCCAGCGAUGGUUCAGGUUCCGUUGUGAAAGCGCAGCCCAGCAGGAUGGAAAUGGUGCUCUCUUUUUCUCCCCAGCUGCCGUCGCAUCCUCUCCUUUCCCCUCCAGGGAUGUGCAGGUUUUCUCCACGUUGCUCUGAGGGCAGCUUCCCAGCUCUUGUCCCAGCAAGGGGAGGUUCCUGGCUGUGGAGGCCGUGGAGAAGGUCCCUCAGCUGGAAUCAUCCCUGUGAUGGUCCCUGUCCCAGCGCAAGUUUGGGCUGAUUGCAGUGCCACGGCUGGAAAAUCUUCAUGCUCAUGGUGUUUAGACUACGUCGUGGACAGACGAGGAGUUGGUCGUCUCUGGCAAGAGGUCGUUGCGUUUUCCUCCAGUAUCUCGUAGUCUGCUGUCAGAUGGAUUUCUGUGAAGGGAGUGAGACUCUGAGCAAAAACUGCUACAGGUUUUUGGGGCUCUUUGCCCACACGCGGACCCCGUGGAUGGCUUCAGGUCCCGCCGUUUCCCUCCCUCUGCUCACCCCAUCCCCAGACCUGGCCAGCAGCAGGGUUCAGCUCUGCCAGGCCCACCCACAAAGCCCCUCUCUUCCCACCCGGCCUGGAAACCAGCACCCAGCUGCAAACACACACUGUCCUCUCGGGCCAAGAGCAGCCUCCUGCUUUGUUAGGCCUUCUAAAUGCUGCCAAAUAACGUGUGUCUGCAUGUGUGUGCCUGGUGUGUCUGCGUGGCAACAGAAGGGAACUGGAGGGACUUGAGGCUAGCCAUGGAGGAGCCCAAGGUUCUGCUUGGAUCGAGCCAAGCCCCGGCUCAAAACUGAGAUCUCGUUGGAGAGGCCCCGCUGUCCCCAGAACUACUUGCCUCCAAGGCUUGAGCCCCCAAAGGAACAGGGAUGUGGAUCACGCACCUGUUUUGCCAUCUCUGACGGCGUUCUUGCAGCUCCAGGCAAUCAAAGCUCGGCUCACCGUGGAAGGGGCCGCAGCGUCGAGAGCCUGGGUUUGAGCUUUGGCUUUUGGCGAUUGAUAGAGCCGGCCCCUUGGUCUGUCCAGGUCCCAGACACAGAGGUGUUGGUGGGCUCCUUGGGCGGUCUGGCUGUAAUAAGAUAAGGGCCCCGCUCCAUGUACAGAGGUUUGAACUUUGGCAUUUUCUGCUCCUUGGGCGGACUUACUCUACUACCUUUGGCAAUGGCGUCGAGGGCCUGAAUAGGAGCUUCGGUGGUUGAUGUUGAGCAGAGCUGGCCUCCUGGUCCAUCUCUGUCCCAGUGGUAGAGGCAUCGCUGGGCUCCUUGUGCAGGCUGGCUCUAAUACCUAGAGGCAACGGCGUCACGAGCCUGGGGAGGAGCUUUGGCAGCUGAUGCACAGAACUUGCCCCCUGCUGUGUCACUGUGCCAGAAGUAGAGGGCUUGGAAUUGGAUGCUUCCGUCUUUGGGCGGUCUGGAAGCACGGACCAGAACCUCUCAGUCUGUAAGUUCGGCAGUCUGCCGAAUGGGGAGUUGUUUCCCAAAAGAGGGGUAUUUUUCCCCAUAAGGGGGAAAUUUCCCCAAAAAGGGGGACACUUUUCCCCAAACAGGACGAGUUGCUCCCAAAAAGGGGGAAACUGUUCCCCGAAAAGGGGGAAUUGUUAUCAGAAAUGGGAAACAACUCCCCAUUUUUUUCAGAACAAGUCCCAUUUUGGGGGAGCAAUUCUCCAUUUUUGUUAAAAGUUCCCCCUUGUUGGGGAACAAUUUCCCCUUUUUAGGUAACAAUGCCCAUCUUUUGGGGAAAAUUCCCCUUUUUUUUGUGAAGAAUACCCCAUUGUUUGGAAACAAUUCCCCCUUUUUUGAGGGCAACUCCCCUUUUUUGGGAACAAUUCCCUGUCUUUUGGGGAAAAUCUCCCCAUUUUGGAGGAACAAUUCCCCCUUAUAAGGAAAAAUCCCCCCUUUUGGGGUACAACUCCCCACUUUUUGUUUACGAUUCCCCCUUAUUUGGGAUCAGUUCCCCCUUUUGGGAAACAACUCCCCAUUUGGGGGAAAUAUUCCCUUGUUUGGGGAAAUUUCCCCCUUUUCUGGGAAAAUUCCCCUGUUUCGGGGAAAAACUCCCCCUUUCUGGGUAACAACAACAUACUUUUAGGAACAAUUCCCCCUUUUUGGGGAACAAUUCCCCUUUUUUGACAACAAUUCCCCAUUUUUGAUAACAAGUUUUGGGGAAAAACACCUCUGUCUUGGGAACAAUUCCCCCUUUUUUGUAACGAUUCCCCUUUUGGGGAACAAUAAUAGGGGUGUGUAAUGGGAUGGGGGGGCAAUAGGGUACUUAUUGGGGGGGUUAUGGGGUAGGGGGGGCAACAGGGGGACAAUUGGGGGGUAAUUGGGGUGGGGGGGGACAUAAGGGGAGGGUUAUUAGAGGUGAAAUGGGAUGCAGGGCAACAGGGGACAACGGGGGGGCAAUGGGGUGGCUGAAGCCCCUCUCCUGGGGCCAAAUGCCCCGGGGGGGCCCCCCCACACCUCUACCUGCCCCCCCUUAUUGCCCCCCCUCCAUGUAGCCCCCCCCAGCGUGCUCUGGGCCCCUGGGUGUUUGUGCUGUUUGGCUCCCUGCUGGCCGCCUUCGCCCUCUUCACCUUCCUGCGGCUCCCCGAGACGCAGGGGCGCCCCUUCAGCGACGAGGGGGGGGCAGCGACCUCCCCGGGACCCCCCCCUGCUGCUGCUGUCCCCUUGGGUGGGGGGGGGGGGCGACGAGGAGCCCGACUGAGGGAUGCCCCCCCAAAAAAAAAUAAUAAAGGGGGGGGAUCAUAGGAGAGACCCCCCCCAAAAAAAUAAAGGGGGGGGUUAAAGGAGAGCCCCCCCAAAUAAAAUUUAAUUGGGGGGGAUCUCAAUUGGGGCUCCCCCACUGUAAAAAGCUUCAAGGGGGGGUAUUGAGACCCCCCCAAAAAAAAUAAUUGGAGGGGGGGGCUUAAAUGAGGCCCCCCCACACCAUAAAUGAGUGGGGGUGACCCAAAUGAGCCCCCUCCUCAAAUAAAUUUAUGGGGGGGUUUCAUUUGGGGUCCCCCAUCAUAAAAAAGUUGAGGGGGGGCCCCAAUGAGACACACGCCCACAAAAAAAUGUUAAGGGGGGGCCUCAAAUGAGCCCCCCCCCCAGAAAGAAAUGGAGGGGGGGGGGCCCAAACGAGGGCCCCCCCAAGAAAAUAUUUUUGGGGGAGCCUUAAAUGAGACCCCCCCACCAUGAAAUAUUUAAGGGGGCCACAAGUGACCCCUACCCCCACCCAAAAUAUGGAAGGGGGGACCGAAGGAGCCCCCCCCCAAAUUAAAUAGAGGGGGUGCCCCAUUGAGACCUUGACACCCUCCCUGCCCCCAUAAAAAACUCGAGGGGGGAUCUCAAAUGACCCCCCCCCCAGAAGAAUUUGGGGAAAUCCCCCCAAAAACCCGCUCAUGACCCUCACUUUGGGACCCCCGCCCCCGCAAAGAAAAAGCCCCAAAACCGGGGGAAAUUGCCCCAUUUUGGGACCCCCCUCCCUCAAAAAAAAAAAAAA